UUGCUUUUAAGGGGAAGUAAAGAGCGGCAAAGGAGGGAUUGAUUAUAAGGAAAGAUAGGCGUUCGGCUAACUCGCUUUACCCUGAAUCUCAUAUAUAUAGAUAUGAUGCCCCUGAUAGAAACAGCUCAGUGGGCUCUAAGGAAUGAGCCAGCUGACGCUGCCCUUGUUACAGUGUAGGCUCCGUUAGCGCAAGUAAAAGAUGCAAUAAGGUAUAGAGAGGGAAUAUGACUACCGAAUAUUACUACAAUUAUCUAAGGUAUAGAGAGGGAAUCUUACAACUAGUAUAUAUUCAACAGGGAAUAUGACAACUAUUCUAUAUGAAACUCAAACAAUUGGCAACCGAGAAUAGCCUGUUCGACUUUAAUCCGUUUAUCGACGAGAGAAGAAAGAAGCGAAAGUAAGCUGCAAGCGCAAGUCCAACAAGCAAUGGAAUGAGCGUCUGACUCUAAUCAAAGGAAUGAGCGUCUUGUCUCGCCUUGACUCUAAUAAGGGCGUUAGCGCAGUGCGAUGAAGCGCCAAGGCCAAGGGACAUUUUAGGAAGAAAGCAAGUCCCAUCGAGUUAGCUCUUGGAGUAAAGGCAUGAUUUAAGGUAGCGAGUGACUUGAAGGUGAGAUGGUUCAAUAGUAGAUUAGAGAAAGCGACUUCCCAUUAGGGGAGGAAACUAACAAAAUAGCGUCGAUAAGGAAGUGGCUAUUCUUUUUCAUGACUCCGCAGCGCUCGAAUAAGCUCUUUGCACAAGAAAGGGAUAUGAGAGAAGAUGCCAACAAUCGGUACUCAAAAUCAAGUAACUUACUGGCGAACACAGGACUUGUAGUUCAGAAAUAAGAAUGAGU
Molecule: long non-coding RNA, 833 nt
Filed under: Musa acuminata (dwarf banana)
Lineage: Eukaryota; Viridiplantae; Streptophyta; Magnoliopsida; Zingiberales; Musaceae
Description: long non-coding RNA (MACU_LNC010229)
Source: RNAcentral